Molecule: long non-coding RNA, 1682 nt
Organism: Homo sapiens (human)
Lineage: Eukaryota; Metazoa; Chordata; Mammalia; Primates; Hominidae
Gene: MIATNB
Product: MIAT neighbor
Exons: 6
Source: RefSeq, marked validated
CAGAGAAACAUUUCUCAUAUUUGAAGGCCGGAAAGAGGGACAUUUCUGACACCGGAAGUCAGUGAGAGGACUCUUUCCCACACAGGAAGUCAGCUAGAGAGCCGUCUCCCCUCUCUGGAGCCGAGAGAGGCCGGUUUCCCCCACCGUAGCCCACCUGGGAGGAAUUUUCCAGAGAUCACUGUCUGAUGACCCUGUCUUGGAAUUGGAGCCAUGCAAGUUACACUGACCACGUUUGGGUUGGGAUAUUGAGGAGGUUAUGGUUAAAAGCAUACGAUGGGAGAUCAUAUUGUACUUGCGAGUGAGACCCGGCUGGAGGAAUGUUUUAAUUCUUCGGAAAUACCAAGUGGUCUCUGUCUCACAUGAGUACUUCACAAUGGGGAAACUGAACUGGAACUCUACUGACAACGCAGUUGGGAGUUCAAACUUAAUAACCUUCCAGAGUUGGUAUCAAAUUCAGACGCUGACGCUCCUUGGAGAGGUUCUUUGCUGCAAGAGGAUGGAAAGGAUCACUGUGAUUUUGUUUUUCUCCUGCUGCUCUGUCUGGAAGCCAUGUGAGGAGGACAUCUGAGCAGCCCUGUGGAGAGGCCCCCAGCCAACAGCCAGCAUGAACUUGCUGGGCAUGUGAGUGCACCACCUUGAAAGUAGAGCCUCAACCCCUGGUCAAGCCAUCAGGGAGAGCUCAAGCUGGCCUGUUGGAAGAUGACAGGCCAUAUGCAACAGACGUGAAGUGUCCCAGCUGAUCCCCUUCCAGAACACCCACCUUCCAGAUGACCACAGAUGCAAGGGUGAGCCAGCCAAUAGCUGCUGAGACAUUCCCAGAAAGACAGAACAUCCAGCUGACCCAUGGACUCAUGGGCGAUCAUGGAUAAAUGGAUAUUGUUUCAAGCUACUAGGUUUGGGGUUGGUUUGUUACGCAGCAAUAGCUAACAGCUACACCUCUAUUUUAAGGAGUUGUGAAGAUAAAUUGCAAAGGUACAGAAAAAUGAAUAGCUAUAACAGCUACUAGUGAUUGAGUGCUGGCUCUGCCUGGUACUGUGCUCAGGAUUGGCAUGCAUUAUCUCAAAGAGUUGCACAGGCUAGAAGGGCUGCAGCUGAAGAUUCUAGAAGAGUUCAGGUAUAAUGCCUGGCACAUGGUACCUGUUUCAUGUAUGCUAGUUGUUGGAUGCUGCUGAUGCUGGCAGCACGUGGAACUCCUGACACAUGCCUCUGAUUUGGUAGUGGGGUCUGAACUUUGUAAUCUGUGUGUCCAGAGACCUUGGGAAGUCUUCAGCCAAGGGCAGACCAGGAGGUAGCUUUUGUGAUCUGAGUGCAGAGAAGUUUCUUAGAGUGAAUGGCAUCCAGAUAGGGUGGGGAAAAAGCAUUAGCCAGGGUGCUCCACACACUCCCCUCACUAGUGUGGUCCCUGGACCAGCAGCCUCAGCCUCCCCUGGGCCCUUAUUAGAAAUGCAGAAUCUCAGGUCCUACCCCUGCUUACUGAAUCAGUAAGAGCAUUUUAACAAGAUCCCCAGGGGAUUUGUGUGCAUGUUAGAGUUUGUCCAGAACACUCUUCUCAAGCUAUCUGUGCUGAGACACCAGUAUUUUUUUCAAAUUCCAAUUUAUUGCAGAAUGACAGUUUUAAAAAAUGCAGUAAAAAAGCAAAUUCCUAGAAAAAUUAAAUGAAAAAUAAAAUAUACAAAAUCUAA